This 253-nucleotide ribosomal RNA is filed under the name uncultured bacterium. RNAcentral's name for it is "partial 16S ribosomal RNA". It matches the Rfam family "Bacterial small subunit ribosomal RNA", at positions 524 to 776 of the family's 1533-position model. The record is from RNAcentral.
UACAGGGGGGGCAAGCGUUGUUCGGAAUUACUGGGCGUAAAGGGCUCGUAGGUGGCCAACUAAGUCAGACGUGAAAUCCCUCAGCUUAACUGGGGAACUGCGUCUGAUACUGGAUGGCUUGAGUUUGGGAGAGGGAUGCGGAAUUCCAGGUGUAGCGGUGAAAUGCGUAGAUAUCGUAAGGAAGACCAGUGGCGAAGGCGGGUCUCUGGACAGUUCCUGACGCUGAGGCACGAAGGUCAGGGGAGCAAACGGG